This 253-nucleotide ribosomal RNA is filed under the name uncultured bacterium. Its description in RNAcentral is "partial 16S ribosomal RNA". It matches the Rfam family "Bacterial small subunit ribosomal RNA", at positions 524 to 776 of the family's 1533-position model. The record is from RNAcentral.
UACAGAGGGUGCAAGCGUUAAUCGGAAUUACUGGGCGUAAAGCGUGCGUAGACGGUAAUGUAAGUCGGGUGUGAAAGCCCCGGGCUCAACCUGGGAAUUGCAUUCGAGACUGCAUUGCUAGGGUGCGGAAGAGGGAAGCGGAAUUUCCGGUGUAGCGGUGAAAUGCGUAGAUAUCGGAAGGAACAUCAGUGGCGAAGGCGGGUUGCUGGGCUGAUACUGACGCUGAGGCGCGAAAGCCAGGGGAGCGAACGGG